CCUACGUGGGGCAGCAGUGAGGAAUAUUGGUCAAUGGGCGCGAGCCUGAACCAGCCAAGUCGCGUGAGGGAGGACGGCCCUACGGGUUGUAAACCUCUUUUGCCGGGGAGCAACGGGCGUCACGUGUGGCGCCACUGAGAGUACCCGGAGAAAAAGCAUCGGCUAACUCCGUGCCAGCAGCCGCGGUAAUACGGAGGAUGCAAGCGUUAUCCGGAUUUAGUGGGUUUAACGGGUGCGUAGGCGGAUCGUGAAGUCAUUGGUAAAAUUGAGGGGCUCAACCCCUUCCCGCCAUUGAAACUGGUGGUCUUGAGUGGAAGAGAAGUAUGCGGAAUGCGUGGUGUAGCGGUGAAAUGCAUAGAUAUCACGCAGAACCCCGAUUGCGAAGGCAGCAUGCCGGCUUCCGACUGACGCGGAAGCACGAAAGCGUGGGGAUCGAACAGGAUUAGAUACCCUAGUAGUC
This 460-nucleotide ribosomal RNA is filed under the name uncultured bacterium. RNAcentral's name for it is "partial 16S ribosomal RNA". It matches the Rfam family "Bacterial small subunit ribosomal RNA", at positions 338 to 795 of the family's 1533-position model. The record is from RNAcentral.